Molecule: ribosomal RNA, 1085 nt
Filed under: uncultured bacterium
Lineage: Bacteria
Description: bacterial SSU rRNA
Rfam family: Bacterial small subunit ribosomal RNA
Source: RNAcentral
CCUACGGGAGGCAGCAGUGGGGAAUUUUGGACAAUGGGGGCAACCCUGAUCCAGCCAUUCCGCGUGAGUGAAGAAGGCCUUCGGGUUGUAAAGCUCUUUCAGCAGGAACGAAACGGUGGUCCUUAAUACGGGCUACUAAUGACGGUACCUGAAGAAGAAGCACCGGCUAACUACGUGCCAGCAGCCGCGGUAAUACGUAGGGUGCGAGCGUUAAUCGGAAUUACUGGGCGUAAAGCGUGCGCAGGCGGUUUUGUAAGACAGAUGUGAAAUCCCCGGGCUUAACCUGGGAACUGCGUUUGGAACUGGAAGGCUAGAGUGUGUCAGAGGGGGGUGGAAUUCCACGUGUAGCAGUGAAAUGCGUAGAUAUGUGGAGGAACACCGAUGGCGAAGGCAGUCCCCUGGACCUGUACUGACGCUCAUGCACGAAAGCGUGGGGAGCAAACAGGAUUAGAUACCCUGGUAGUCCACGCCCUAAACGAUGUCAACUGGUUGUUGGGAGGGUUUCUUCUCAGUAACGAAGCUAACGCGUGAAGUUGACCGCCUUGGGGAGUACGGCCCCAAAGGUUGAAACUCAAAGGAAAUUGACGGGGGCCCGCCACAAGCGGUGGAAGAUGUGGUUUAAAUUCGAUGCAACGCGAAAAACCCUUACCUACCCCUUGACAUGUCUGGAAAUUUGCAGAGAUGUGAAAGUGCUCGAAAAGAGAGCCAGGAACACAGGUGCUGCAAUGGCUGUCGUCAGCUCGUGUCGUGAGAAUGUUGGGUUAAAGUCCCCGCCAACGAGCGCAAACCCUUGUCCUUUAAUUGCCAUCAUUUAGUUGGGGCACUUUUAAUGAGACUGCCCGGUGACAAACCGGAGGAAGGUGGGGAUGACGUCAAGUCCUCAUGGCCCUUAUGGGUAGGGCUUCACACGUCAUACAAUGGUCGGUACAGAGGGUUGCCAACCCGCGAGGGGGAGCCAAUCCCACAAAGCCGAUCGUAGUCCGGAUCGCAGUCUGCAACUCGACUGCGUGAAGUCGGAAUCGCUAGUAAUCGUGGAUCAGAACGCCACGGUGAAUACGUUCCCGGGCCUUGUACACACCGCCCGU